CGUUCCUACGGGAGGCAGCAGUAGGGAAUCUUCCACAAUGGGCGAAAGCCUGAUGGAGCAACGCCGCGUGGGUGAAGAAGGUCUUCAGAUCGUAAAACCCUGUUGUUAGAGAAGAAAGUGCGUGAGAGUAACUGUUCACAUUUCGACGGUAUCUAACCAGAAAGCCACGGCUAACUACAUGCCAGCAGCCGCGGCAAUACGUAGGUGGCAAGCGUUAUCCGGAUUUAUUGGGCGUAAAGGGAACGCAGGCGGUCUUUUAAGUCUGAUGUGAAAGCCUUCGGCUUAACCGGAGUAGUGCAUUUGAA
Molecule: ribosomal RNA, 305 nt
Filed under: uncultured bacterium
Lineage: Bacteria
Description: bacterial SSU rRNA
Rfam family: Bacterial small subunit ribosomal RNA
Source: RNAcentral